GGUUGAUCCUGCCAGUAGUCAUAUGCUUGUCUCAAAGAUUAAGCCAUGCAUGUCUAAGUAUAAACACCUUUAUACAGUGAAACUGCGUACAGCUCAUUAUAUCAGUUAUGAUUUAUUUGAUGGUUAUUUUCUACAUGGAUACCUGUAGUAAUUCUAGAGCUAAUACAUGCAUAAAGUCCUGACUCGUGAGGGAAAGGAUGUAUUUAUUAGAUAGCAAACCAAUACAGAUGCAAAUCUGGUGUUUUGGUGACUCCUAGUAACUGUUCGAAUCGCAUGGCUUUACGCUGGCGAU
This 292-nucleotide ribosomal RNA is filed under the name uncultured eukaryote. RNAcentral describes it as "partial 18S ribosomal RNA". It matches the Rfam family "Eukaryotic small subunit ribosomal RNA", at positions 6 to 291 of the family's 1831-position model. The record is from RNAcentral.